Molecule: long non-coding RNA, 1169 nt
Organism: Mustela erminea (ermine)
Lineage: Eukaryota; Metazoa; Chordata; Mammalia; Carnivora; Mustelidae
Exons: 2
Source: RefSeq, a predicted model, not a curated record
CGAGGGGAGCGGAGCCCCGGGAACGCGCUGGCGGCGGGCCUCAGGGUUCAAGCGCUCGCCCCGCGGCUCAGUGAAGCUUUCGUUCAGCUGCGAGUAACGAUCUUCUGCCCAUUUAAAAAACCAGGUUGUGCCUUUCUGCCUGUGGACACUGCCAGGUAAGCAUUGUUAAAAUCUCCCCUCCCACCACCAUCAUGUGUCAGUCAGAGUCUCCCACAGACCCUGAACAGCUGCGAAGCUCUUCAUUGAGGUUUGAGCUCGGCAACAACGAUGAGUCUGAGGAGCCGCUAGGAGCAAUGGGAACACUUAUGGCCUGUGUGGUAAUGACAGAUCCAAAGACCAAGCACUCCAGAGGCUUUGGGUUUGUCAUGUACACCACUGUGGAGACGGUGGAUGCAGCCAUGAAGGCAGGGCCACACAAGGUGGAUGGAAACGUUGUGGAGCCAAAGAGGUCUCUCUCAAGAGAAGAUUCUCAAAGACAUGGUGCCCACUUCCCUGUGAAAAAGAUUUUUGUCAGCAUUAAAGAAGACACUGAAGAACAUCAUCUAAGAAAUUAUUCUGAACAGUAUGGAAAAACUGACGUGACUGACAUCAUGACUGACUGAGGCAGUGGCCACAAGAGAGGCUUUGCUUUUAUAACAUUUGAUGACCAUGACUCUGUACCCAAGACUGUCAUUCAGAAAUACCACACUGUGAAUGGCCCCAACUGGGAAGUAAGGAGAGCCCUGUUGAAGCAAGAGGGGGCAAGUGCUUUAUCUGGCCAAAGAAGUCGAGGUAGUUCUGGAAACUUUGGUGGUGGUCGUGGAGGUGGUUUCGGUGGGAAUGACAACCGUGGUCAUACAGGAAACUUAGAUGGCAGUCAAGAUGGUGGUGGAUAUGGUGACAGUGGGGAUGGAUAUCGUGGAUUUGGUAAUGUUAGAAGCAACUCUGGAGGUGGUGGAGGCUAUAAUGAUUUUGUCAGUUAUAAUAAUCAAUCUUUAAAAUCUGGACCCAUGACAGGAGGAUAUUUUGGAGGCUGAAGCUCGGCCCCUGUGGUGGUGGAGGCCAAUACUUUACUAAAUCAUGAAACCAAAGUGGCUACAGUGGUUCUAGCAGUAGCAGUAGCAAUGACAGUGGCGGGAGGUUUCCAUUGCUUCCAGGAAGCAGAGCUCAGUGGGAGAGGAGAGCCAGAG